UGGGGAAUAUUGGACAAUGGGCGAAAGCCUGAUCCAGCCAUGCCGCGUGUGUGAAGAAGGCCUUUUGGUUGUAAAGCACUUUAAGUGGGGAGGAAAAGCUUGUGGUUAAUACCCACAAGCCCUGACGUUACCCACAGAAUAAGCACCGGCUAACUCUGUGCCAGCAGCCGCGGUAAUACAGAGGGUGCAAGCGUUAAUCGGAAUUACUGGGCGUAAAGCGAGCGUAGGUGGUCAUUUAAGUCAGAUGUGAAAGCCCCGGGCUUAACCUGGGAACUGCAUCUGAUACUGGGUGACUAGAGUAGGUGAGAGGGAAGUAGAAUUCCAGGUGUAGCGGUGAAAUGCGUAGAGAUCUGGAGGAAUACCGAUGGCGAAGGCAGCUUCCUGGCAUCAUACUGACACUGAGGUUCGAAAGCGUGGGUAGCAAACAGGAUUAGAUACCCUGGUAGUCCACGCCGUAAACGAUGUCUACCAGUCGUUGGGUCUCUUGAAGACUUAGUGACGCAGUUAACGCAAUAAGUAGACCGCCUGGGGAGUACGGCCGCAAGGUUA
Molecule: ribosomal RNA, 549 nt
Filed under: uncultured bacterium
Lineage: Bacteria
Description: bacterial SSU rRNA
Rfam family: Bacterial small subunit ribosomal RNA
Source: RNAcentral